GCAAUACAUUUAACUAUUUUCCUUUCGUGUAAGCCUCUAGAAAAAAUUUCAUGUAUACUAAACCACAUAUGCCGAAACAUCGCUAUUAAGCGCAUCAAUAAUCGGCUGGUCUCGAGUUAAAUCGGUAGCCGGAGUUUCCAAGUUAGGGUUCGGAAACCAGUUGGUCGGCUUAAUCGCCGCGAUCUUCUUCCUAUUUAGGCACAACACAGCACUGUUACGGAAAUCCUCGACAAUCCUGAAUUCCAAUUGAUCGCCGGUACCGGAAACCGGAGACGAUUCCAGAGCAAAAGCACGGCGGAGUUUCCAUGGCUUUUAACCGGAGAAAAGUUAGGGUUUAAUAGCGAAUUGAAGUUCGAGAAACGGGAAGAAGGCAAUGGAGGGAAAUUCAGAAAAUGAGAGACGAUGAGCGGUGGCCGGGAUUAGAUCUUGGCGACAGCUGGAGGCUGGUGAGAUGACAAUGCGAG
Molecule: non-coding RNA, 464 nt
Organism: Benincasa hispida (wax gourd)
Lineage: Eukaryota; Viridiplantae; Streptophyta; Magnoliopsida; Cucurbitales; Cucurbitaceae
Source: RefSeq, a predicted model, not a curated record